CAGCGAAGUUUUAACCAAAGCUGCAGGCAUAAUUAAACAUACUCCAGAAGAUGCAGUUAAAAGAGCUGCCUCAGGUCUCGGCCACCCUCCAACCUUCAGAGCCCUGGCCCCCGCUCACUGUUAUCGCUAUAGUCUAACAAUAGACUAAGCAACUAACAAAACAGAUUCACGCUUUCCCGUGUACUUUGAUAAUCAUUCUCGAUUGUUUGUCCCAUUAAUAGAAAGGACAAAACGACAAGAACUUUGAGAGCGGGAAAACUGGGGCUUAAACUAUGCUAGGCCAGGCCAGGUUGCCAGAGUACUACAAAUCUGGACACUCAGUUCAUCUGAAACAUCACCAAAUUUGACUGGCACCUCUUCCAGGAAGACACACUUUUGUGCACUCCACUCUACUCAUCAAAAGACUUUCUGUGGAUUCUGACGCCUGAGCACUGGCCUUAGCCUACCUGGGGGCAAACGUUCUGAGGAGCAGGAGCUGCCAGCCUUGGUCGUUACUGUAUCCUGAAGACUAGCACAGCGUCUGGCAUGUGACCAACUCUCACCAAACAUUAGCUGCGUCUAUGUGGGAAUCAAGUACUGGGAGGUGAUACAGAGCCCAUUAUAUUGUAUUGCUAGGGCAGCACUUAGAAAGUACCACAAACUGAACAGCUUAAACCACGGAAACUGUGGUGUCAUGGUUCUGGGGGCUGUGUCUAAAUUCAAAGUCUCUAGAAAGGGCCUCUUUCCCACUGGGUAUACUGAAUAAAGCACCCACUGAAAUUA
Mesocricetus auratus (golden hamster) is the source of this 762-nucleotide long non-coding RNA. RefSeq lists it as uncharacterized. Lineage: Eukaryota; Metazoa; Chordata; Mammalia; Rodentia; Cricetidae. The transcript is spliced from 2 exons. The record is from RefSeq and is a predicted model, not a curated record.